This 797-nucleotide long non-coding RNA is filed under the name Neodiprion pinetum (white pine sawfly). RNAcentral's name for it is "uncharacterized LOC124218182". Lineage: Eukaryota; Metazoa; Arthropoda; Insecta; Hymenoptera; Diprionidae. The record is from RNAcentral.
AGUUCCUCGGAAAAGAUAAAUCGAAAUUUAUUUACACAGUAUACAUGUACGUUGAGUGAGUGCUAUCGGGGCUGCGGAGACAAGUUGAUAAGAUCUGUGAAAUACCUGUAGUAUACAUUAUACUUAUACUGAGACGCGAUAAGAGAGAAUAAAAGGGGAAGAAAGACGCUCUUGGCCAAAAAAUACAUGCCCGUAAGCCUCGGUGGCGCUCGUUACUCAGCCGUUGGUAAACAAAGCCGAUCGUAAAACUCCGGGGGUCUAUGACUACACGCGGCGGCGAUCCGUCGGGAGCAGAUACUCGGCUAACAAUGAGCGUUUGCAAAGGCUGCCACGCGAUGACUGAGCACGUGUGGGACUGGGGACAAUUGAUAUACAUAUAUGUAGUCCGAAGUCUGUCCUACGUCGCGCGUUGUUACAUCGCCACCCGGUAAUAGAGGGCAAAUUUGUUUAAGUUGAUUGCUGCGCGGUUCACUGUACAGACAAUGAGAAAAUUUAAAUAUACACGUCCAUUAUUAUCCGUAUCUUAAUUAUUAUUACUUUUUUUCAUCUUUUAUAUUUGUCUUACAACAAAAUUGAGUGUAUCGUUCGUGAUGUUAUCUUUCGUACUUUGAUGACAAGUUUUUCGUAGAACACAUAAGGUAUACCGCAAUGCAUCGUGCAUAUCAGUUCGCUGUUUCACUGUUAUUUGUAAUGUAAUAUUUUCUGGUUUUAUUUAUUCUUGUUGUUGUACACCUUCGGAUGCACCAACAAUGCUUAUGUUUUGAAGAACAAUAAAACGGCGACGCCCCUGUUUUUUC